RNAcentral lists this ribosomal RNA (71 nucleotides) under Yersinia pestis. RNAcentral's name for it is "partial 16S ribosomal RNA". It matches the Rfam family "Bacterial small subunit ribosomal RNA", at positions 1466 to 1533 of the family's 1533-position model. Lineage: Bacteria; Pseudomonadati; Pseudomonadota; Gammaproteobacteria; Enterobacterales; Yersiniaceae. The record is from RNAcentral.
GAUUCAUGACUGGGGUGAAGUCGUAACAAGGUAACCGUAGGGGAACCUGCGGUUGGAUCACCUCCUUACCU